Molecule: ribosomal RNA, 468 nt
Filed under: uncultured bacterium
Lineage: Bacteria
Description: partial 16S ribosomal RNA
Rfam family: Bacterial small subunit ribosomal RNA
Source: RNAcentral
GACGAACGCUGGCGGCGUGCUUAACACAUGCAAGUCGAACGGAAAGGCCCUGCUUUUGUGGGGUGCUCGAGUGGCGAACGGGUGAGUAACACGUGAGUAACCUGCCCUUGACUUUGGGAUAACUUCAGGAAACUGGGGCUAAUACCGGAUAGGAGCUCCUGCUGCAUGGUGGGGGUUGGAAAGUUUCGGCGGUUGGGGAUGGACUCGCGGCUUAUCAGCUUGUUGGUGGGGUAGUGGCUUACCAAGGCUUUGACGGGUAGCCGGCCUGAGCGGGGGACCGGCCACAUUGGGACUGAGAUACGGCCCAGACUCCUACGGGAGGCAGCAGGGGGGAAUAUUGCACAAUGGGCGGAAGCCUGAGGCAGCAACGCCGCGUGCGGGAUGACGGCCUUUGGGGUGUAAACCGCUUUCGCCUGUGACGAAGCGUGAGUGACGGUAAUGGGUAAAGAAGCACCGGCUAACUACGUG